AACGAACGCUGGCGGCAUGCCUAACACAUGCAAGUCGAACGAGACCUUCGGGUCUAGUGGCGCACGGGUGCGUAACGCGUGGGAACCUGCCCCUUGGUUCGGAAUAACAGUUAGAAAUGACUGCUAAUACCGGAUGAUGUCUUCGGUCCAAAGAUUUAUCGCCAAGGGAUGAGCCCGCGUAGGAUUAGGUAGUUGGUGGGGUAAAGGCUCACCAAGCCGACGAUCCUUAGCUGGUCUGAGAGGAUGAUCAGCCACACUGGGACUGAGACACGGCCCAGACUCCUACGGGAGGCAGCAGUGGGGAAUAUUGGACAAUGGGCGAAAGCCUGAUCCAGCAAUGCCGCGUGAGUGAUGAAGGCCUUAGGGUUGUAAAGCUCUUUUACCAGGGAUGAAAAUGGCAGUACCUGGAGAAUAAGCUCCGGCUAACUCCGUGCCAGCCGCCGCAGUAA
This 449-nucleotide ribosomal RNA is filed under the name uncultured bacterium. RNAcentral's name for it is "partial 16S ribosomal RNA". It matches the Rfam family "Bacterial small subunit ribosomal RNA", at positions 29 to 523 of the family's 1533-position model. The record is from RNAcentral.